GUCAGUCAAUCCCUUAAGGAGUUAUUGCCCUUUAUAGUCAAUUUUAACAACUUUUUUCGUCAUUUUUUGUAACUUGUACAAAAAUCUUCUUCUCUGAAACUACUGGGCCAAAUUUAAACUAACUUGGCCACAAUCAUAAUUGUGGUAUAUAGUUUAAAAAAUGUGUCCGAUGACCUCACCUACCAAACAAAAUGGCCGAACUGGCUAAAAUUAGAACAUAGUGGUAAAAUGCAGUUUUUGCUUUAUAUCUUUGAAACUAAGACAUUUAGGGCAAAUCUUUCAAGAUUUAAAUGUCCAUCAGAAUAAGAUCUAUCCCCUCAC
RNAcentral lists this long non-coding RNA (321 nucleotides) under Mytilus galloprovincialis (Mediterranean mussel). The record is from RNAcentral. Lineage: Eukaryota; Metazoa; Mollusca; Bivalvia; Mytilida; Mytilidae.